GACGAACGCUGGCGGCGCGCUUAACACAUGCAAGUCGAACGGAAAGGCCUGCUUUCCCUUGUGGAUUGCGGGUACUCGAGUGGCGAACGGGUGAGUAACACGUGCGUGAUCUGCCCCCAACUUGGGUAUAAGCCUGGGAAACUGGGUCUAAUUCCCGAUAGGACUGCAGGGUGGUGCCUGUGGUGGAAAACGCUUUUCUAGUGGUUGGGGAUGAGCUCGCGGCCUAUCAGCUUGUUGGUGGGGUAAUGGCCUACCAAGGCGGCGACGGGUAGCCGGCCUGAGAGGGUGGACGGCCACAUUGGAACUGAGAUACGGCCCAGACGCCUACGGGAGGCAGCAGUGGGGAAUAUUGCACAAUGGGCGGAAGACUGAUGCAGCGACGCCGCGUGGGGGAUGACGGCCUUCGGGUUGUAAACUCCUUUCGACCGCGAGGAAGCCACCUGGUUGGAAGGGUGGUGACGGUAGUGGUAGAAGAAGCACCGGCUAACUACGUG
RNAcentral lists this ribosomal RNA (494 nucleotides) under uncultured bacterium. Its description in RNAcentral is "partial 16S ribosomal RNA". It matches the Rfam family "Bacterial small subunit ribosomal RNA", at positions 28 to 507 of the family's 1533-position model. The record is from RNAcentral.